CUCAGUUUUAUGAGUGACAAGUUGGACAAAUCACAGACACCUGGGUACUUCACCUUCUAAGAUUAGUGACCGCUCAGGCCCCAUCAGAUGCAAUCGUUACCAAUGCCUUUGACCCUGAGGCCCUGCUGUUGGAGGUCCUCCGUUCGACUAGACAACAUUCGUACCCUCCUAACUCAAUCCUGGGCUCAAGGCCUCAAUGACAGGGUCCCUCACUGGUGGUAACUGCCAUGUGACUGGCCGGCUGCCCGGAAUCCUGCUUUGUUUUCACUCUCAACACCUUUGCCAACUCGUCUCGGCCGUAAGCUCCCAGGAACCAUUCCUGACCAUCUGUGUAUAACCACCACCCUGUCCUGUCCAGCCCCGCCAUCCCUGCCAGCUCUCACUCCCACACUUUGUGCUAUGUGGGCACUUCGCAGUGAGUCCAAAGCCACUGGGGCAGGGUUAAGAGCAGAACCUAUGGCAGUGACUGACUAGUCAUCACCAGAUUGGCCCAGGGUCAAAUUUGGCGGCCUCUUCCUUAGCGGUCAGCUUAGCAGUGAAGGUCUGGCACAUGCUUCCAUAGCACAUGCUUCAAUAAGUGGCUAACGAAGAAAUGAAUAAAAGAGCUAUUUCAACAUA
Leopardus geoffroyi (Geoffroy's cat) is the source of this 618-nucleotide long non-coding RNA. RefSeq lists it as uncharacterized. NCBI's taxonomy places the organism in Eukaryota, Metazoa, Chordata, Mammalia, Carnivora, Felidae. The transcript has 2 exons. The record is from RefSeq and is a predicted model, not a curated record.